This 429-nucleotide ribosomal RNA is filed under the name Shewanella putrefaciens. Its description in RNAcentral is "bacterial SSU rRNA". It matches the Rfam family "Bacterial small subunit ribosomal RNA", at positions 55 to 474 of the family's 1533-position model. Lineage: Bacteria; Pseudomonadati; Pseudomonadota; Gammaproteobacteria; Alteromonadales; Shewanellaceae. The record is from RNAcentral.
AUGCAGUCGAGCGGCAGCACAAGGGAGUUUACUCCUGAGGUGGCGAGCGGCGGACGGGUGAGUAAUGCCUAGGGAUCUGCCCAAUCGAGGGGGAUAACAGUUGGAAACGACUGCUAAUACCGCAUACGCCCUACGGGGGAAAGGAGGGGACCUUCGGGCCUUCCGCGAUUGGAUGAACCUAGGUGGGAUUAGCUAGUUGGUGAGGUAAUGGCUCACCAAGGCGACGAUCCCUAGCUGUUCUGAGAGGAUGAUCAGCCACACUGGGACUGAGACACGGCCCAGACUCCUACGGGAGGCAGCAGUGGGGAAUAUUGCACAAUGGGGGAAACCCUGAUGCAGCCUUGCCGCGUGUGUGAAGAAGGCCUUCGGGUUGUAAAGCACUUUCAUUAUGGAGGAAAGGGUGAGUCUUAAUACGGCUCAUCUGUGACG